RNAcentral lists this long non-coding RNA (580 nucleotides) under Mytilus galloprovincialis (Mediterranean mussel). The record is from RNAcentral. Lineage: Eukaryota; Metazoa; Mollusca; Bivalvia; Mytilida; Mytilidae.
AAAGUUUUUAUACGACCGCAAAAUUUGAAAAAAUUUUCGUCGUAUAUUGCUAUCACGUUGGCGUCGUCGUCAUCGUCGUCCGAAUACUUUUAGUUUUCGCACUCUAACUUUAGUAAAAGUGAAUGGAAAUCUAUGAAAUUUUAACACAAGGUUUAUGACCACAAAAGGAAGGUUGGUAUUGAUUUUGGGAGUUUUGGUCCUAACAUUUUAGGAAUUAGGGGCCAAAAAGGGCCCAAACAAGCAUUUUCUUGGUUUUCGCACUAUAACUUUAGUUUAAGUUAAUAGAAAUCUAUGAAAUUUUGACACAAGGUUUAUGACCACAAAAGAACGGUUGGGAUUGAUUUUGGGAGUUUUGGUUUCAACAGUUUAGGAAUUAGGGGCCAAAAAAGGGCCCAAAUAAGCAUUAUUCUUGGUUUUCGCACAAUAACUUUAGUUUAAGUAAAUAGAAAUCAAUGAAAUUUAAACACAAUGUUAAUGACUACAAAAGGAAGGUUGGUAUUGAUUUUGGGAGUUUAGGUCCCAACAGUUUAGGAAUUAGGGCCAAAAAGGGACCCAAAUAAGCAUUUUUCUUGGUUUUCGC